CGUAACUAUAACGGUCCUAAGGUAGCGAAAUUCCUUGUCGGGUAAGUUCCGACCUGCACGAAUGGCGUAACGAUGGCCACGCUGUCUCCACCCGAGACUCAGUGAAAUUGAAUUUGCGGUUAAGAUGCCGUAUACCCGCGGCUAGACGGAAAGACCCCGUGAACCUUUACUACAGCUUUGCACUGAACUUUGAGCCUGCUUGUGUAGGAUAGGUGGGAGGCUUUGAAAUCGUGACGCCAGUUGCGGUGGAGCCAUCCUUGAAAUACCACCCUGGCAUGUUUGAGGUUCUAACCCAGGUCCGUUAUCCGGAUCGGGGACAGUGUAUGGUGGGUAGUUUGACUGGGGCGGUCUCCUCCCAAAGAGUAACGGAGGAGCACGAAGGUACCCUAAGCAUGGUCGGACAUCAUGCGGUUAGUGCAAUGGCAUAAGGGUGCUUAACUGCGAGACAGACACGUCGAGCAGGUGCGAAAGCAGGUCAUAGUGAUCCGGUGGUUCUGUAUGGAAGGGCCAUCGCUCAACGGAUAAAAGGUACUCCGGGGAUAACAGGCUGAUACCGCCCAAGAGUUCAUAUCGACGGCGGUGUUUGGCACCUCGAUGUCGGCUCAUCACAUCCUGGGGCUGUAGCCGGUCCCAAGGGUAUGGCUGUUCGCCAUUUAAAGUGGUACGCGAGCUGGGUUUAGAACGUCGUGAGACAGUUCGGUCCCUAUCUGCCGUGGGCGUUUGAGAAUUGAGAGGAGCUGCUCCUAGUACGAGAGGACCGGAGUGGACGUACCUCUGGUGUUCCGGUUGUCAUGCCAAUGGCAUUGCCGGGUAGCUAUGUACGGACGGGAUAACCGCUGAAAGCAUCUAAGCGGGAAGCCCCCCUCGAGAUGAGUUCUCACUGGGAACUUGAUUCCCCUAAAGGGUCGUCGAAGACUACGACGUUGAUAGGCUGGGUGUGGAAGUGCGGCAACGUAUGAAGCUAACCAGUACUAAUUGCCCGUGAGGCUUGACCAU
RNAcentral lists this ribosomal RNA (996 nucleotides) under hot springs metagenome. RNAcentral describes it as "bacterial LSU rRNA". It matches the Rfam family "Bacterial large subunit ribosomal RNA", at positions 1935 to 2925 of the family's 2925-position model. The record is from RNAcentral.